ACGGCUCAGUAACACGUGGACAACCUGCCCUUAGGUUGGGUAUAAACCCGGGAAAACUGGGUAUAAUACCCGAUAGGUCUCGAUUGCUGGAAUGCAUCGAGAUUUAAAGCUCCGGCGCCUAAGGAUGGGUCUGCGGCCUAUCAGGUAGUAGUGGGUGUAGCGUACCUACUAGCCUACGACGGGUACGGGUUGUGAGAGCAAGAGCCCGGAGAUGGAUUCCGAGACACGAAUCCAGGCCCUACGGGGUGCAGCAGGCGCGAAAACUUUACAAUGCUGGCAACAGCGAUAAGGGAACCUCGAGUGCCAGGUUACAAAUCUGGCUGUCGAGAUGCCUAAAAAGCAUUUCAUAGCAAGGGCCGGGCAAGACCGGUGCCAGCCGCCGCGGUAACACCGGCGGCUCGAGUGGUAACCGUUAUUAUUGGGUCUAAAGGGUCUGUAGCCGGCCGGAUAAGUCUCUUGAGAAAUCUGGCAGCUUAACUGUCAGGCUUUCAGGAGAUACUGUCUGGCUCGAGGCCGGGAGAGGUGAGGGGUACUUCAGGGGUAGGGGUGAAAUCUUGUAAUCCUUGAAGGACCACCAGUGGCGAAGGCGUCUCACCAGAACGGACCUGACGGCAAGGGACGAAAGCUAGGGGCACGAACCGGAUUAGAUACCCGGGUAGUCCUAGCCGUAAACGAUACUCGCUAGGUGUCGGCCACGGUGCGACCGUUGUCGGUGCCGUAGGGAAGCCGUGAAGCGAGCCACCUGGGAAGUACGGCCGCAAGGCUGAAACUUAAAGGAAUUGGCGGGGGAGCAC
Molecule: ribosomal RNA, 794 nt
Filed under: uncultured archaeon
Lineage: Archaea
Description: bacterial SSU rRNA
Rfam family: Archaeal small subunit ribosomal RNA
Source: RNAcentral